GAUGAACGCUGGCGGCGUGCCUAAUACAUGCAAGUCGAGCGAACAGACGAGGAGCUUGCUCCUCUGACGUUAGCGGCGGACGGGUGAGUAACACGUGGAUAACCUACCUAUAAGACUGGGAUAACUUCGGGAAACCGGAGCUAAUACCGGCUCAUAUAUUGAACCGCAUGGAUCAAUAGUGAAAGACGGUUUUGCUGUCACUUAUAGAUGGAUCCGCGCCGCAUUAGCUAGUUGGUAAGGUAACGGCUUACCAAGGCAACGAUGCGUAGCCGAUCUGAGAGGGUGAUCGGCCACACUGGAACUGAGACACGGUCCAGACUCCUACGGGAGGCAGCAGUAGGGAAUCUUCCGCAAUGGGCGCAAGCCUGACGGAGCCACGCCGCGUGGGUGAUGAAGGUCUUCGGAUCGUAAAGCCCUUUUAUUAGGGAAGAACAAAUGUGUGAGUAACUAUGCCCGUCUUGACGGUACCCAAUCAGAAAGCCCCGGCUAACUUCGUG
RNAcentral lists this ribosomal RNA (497 nucleotides) under uncultured bacterium. Its description in RNAcentral is "partial 16S ribosomal RNA". It matches the Rfam family "Bacterial small subunit ribosomal RNA", at positions 28 to 507 of the family's 1533-position model. The record is from RNAcentral.